UGUUAAAAGAGCCUUCAGAGAAUAUGAGACAUUAUUUUUCCUAAACAUCAGGCAUCUUACUAACGUGUCUAUGGGUGAGAGAAGUCUGUCCUUCAGAGGAUUUUGUAGUAUUGCACUGAGCCCAGAUGUGUACUAAGCCAGCAGGAACAGACACACAGGAUAGGAAUGAAGAAGGAGGAGUGCAAGGAGGAUAUGAAGGCCACAAUAAUAAUGAAACAACAAGGUUCAAAGUUGUUUUGGAUCCAACAAACUCUGUCUCCUUGGAUUCUACAAACAGAGCACAGGCUAGCUGGGUUGCAGUUGAUUUUUGCUGUCAUUUCCUGGUGCAAAGCCAGGUUCAUUGUGUGACUCCUUCCCUCAUUUCUGGGAGGAAUUAAGGUAGUGAGUAGGAGAAUAAAAGGAGGACCUCUAGGCUCUCAACUGCAGCAUGAGUUCUGUCCUCUGUUAUGGACCAGACAUCCAGAUCUGCCUCCACCCAUGAAGCUGCUGAGAGUCCUUGUGCUGGUUGCCCUUCCACUUUCCUGCUUUGCAGGUUGUGGAUGCUCAUUUCUAGAAGAAGUGGUUAAAAAAUAGGAGAAGAAAGGGAAGAAGAAAGGGGGGGUAAA
Ailuropoda melanoleuca (giant panda) is the source of this 605-nucleotide long non-coding RNA. RefSeq lists it as uncharacterized. The record is from RefSeq and is a predicted model, not a curated record. The transcript is spliced from 3 exons. NCBI's taxonomy places the organism in Eukaryota, Metazoa, Chordata, Mammalia, Carnivora, Ursidae.